This 497-nucleotide ribosomal RNA is filed under the name uncultured bacterium. Its description in RNAcentral is "partial 16S ribosomal RNA". It matches the Rfam family "Bacterial small subunit ribosomal RNA", at positions 28 to 507 of the family's 1533-position model. The record is from RNAcentral.
GAUGAACGCUGGCGGCGUGCCUAAUACAUGCAAGUCGAGCGAACAGACGAGGAGCUUGCUCCCUUGACGUUAGCGGCGGACGGGUGAGUAACACGUGGAUAACCUACCUAUAAGACUGGGAUAACUUCGGGAAACCGGUGCUAAUACUGGAUAAUAUAUUGAACCGCAUGGUUCAAUAGUGAAAGACGGUUUUGCUGUCACUUAUAGAUGGUUCCGCGUCGGAUUAGCUAGUUGGUAAGGUAACGGCUUACCAAGGCGACGAUGCGUAGCCGACCUGAGAGGGUGAUCAGCCACACUGGAACUGAGACACGGUCCAGACUCCUACGGGAGGCAGCAGUGGGGAAUCUUCGACAAUGGGCGAAAGCCUGACGGAGCAACGCCGCGUGAGUGAUGAAGGUCUUCGGAUCGUAAAGCUCUGUUAUUAGGGAAGAACAACUGUGUAAGUAACUAUGCACGUCUUGACGGUACCUAAUCAGAAAGCCACGGCUAACUACGUG